UACGUAGGGUGCGAGCGUUAAUCGGAAUUACUGGGCGUAAAGCGUGCGUAGGCGGUUUGUUGUGUCUGCGGUGAAAGCCCCGGGCUUAACCUGGGAAUGGCCAUGGAAACUGGCGAGCUGGAGUGUGGCAGAGGGGGGUGGAAUUCCGCGUGUAGCAGUGAAAUGCGUAGAGAUGCGGAGGAACACCGAUGGCGAAGGCAGCCCCCUGGGCUAACACUGACGCUGAGGCACGAAAGCGUGGGGAGCAAACAGG
RNAcentral lists this ribosomal RNA (253 nucleotides) under uncultured bacterium. Its description in RNAcentral is "partial 16S ribosomal RNA". It matches the Rfam family "Bacterial small subunit ribosomal RNA", at positions 524 to 776 of the family's 1533-position model. The record is from RNAcentral.